This 348-nucleotide ribosomal RNA is filed under the name Triticum aestivum (bread wheat). RNAcentral describes it as "partial small subunit ribosomal RNA". Lineage: Eukaryota; Viridiplantae; Streptophyta; Magnoliopsida; Poales; Poaceae. The record is from RNAcentral.
AUGCCUCGGCUGCUCCUCUUGUGCCUGGUGUCUAGCCAUUUCGCGGUGACCGCCGUCAUGGCGCGGCAGUUCCCCGUCUUCCUCGUCGGUGGCGGCGCCAUGGCAGCGGACGCCCCUUCUGCUUCUGCUUUCGAUGCUUCGCGUCUGCAUAGGCACUCCCUUUUGGAGUCCAGAUUUGCAGCAUCGCCGAUGGGCUCGUCUGACCACGGACUACGGCACGGCCCCUUCGACAGGCACUUCGCCGGGGGCAAGAUCAUACUCGGCGGCCUCGCGGUGGCGAUCAUCGCCGCGGUCUUCUGCUACAUCCGCAUCACCAGGGCCAAGAAGAUCGUCGAGCCAAAAACUUAG